Molecule: long non-coding RNA, 5594 nt
Organism: Falco peregrinus (peregrine falcon)
Lineage: Eukaryota; Metazoa; Chordata; Aves; Falconiformes; Falconidae
Exons: 2
Source: RefSeq, a predicted model, not a curated record
UCAGGAGUUGGGGCUCAUGCCACAUUGGAAGUGGUACGUGGGUAACUAAGACCCUCAUCUUGGCUUUCGUGAGACUGCAAGUUUCCUGUGGAGUGGUCUCAGCCUAGACCCCUCACCUUCAUGGGGAGUAUCUGCCCCAUCGCUCACUGCCUGGGCAAGUGCUUUGACUACUACGCGCUGUAUAAAUGGGACGCUCUGCAAACUGCAGGCACAUCGAGGUCCUGCUUAAGUGCCGCUUUGUUCUCCAGAACUUGCCGGUGACUGCAUGCAAGGACAAGGGAGUGUUUUGUUUUGGUAGGUAGAGCAGCCUAACAGGUUUCUUUCAGAUCAGCUGGACCUGCCAGGCUGGGGAUGGGGAUAAUUAGAGGCAGUAAAGCCCAAUGAGCAGGACAGUCUCCCUUGAUGGAUCAAAUCUGCACCUGAGGUGACAACGUGUGGUCUCAGCUGAGCCGCAGAGAACAUGGCAACUCACAGAGAACCAAGUGCUUGCAUUUCGCUUUGCAAAUGAAAAGAGGAAACCACCACCACUGACAACUUCUCCACAUGCCUGCAUGAAGAACCAGAUGCACCUUUGCAGCAUGCUUACAAAAAUAACCCCCCAGUUGCAGCUUUAGAAGAUGAAGAAAGAAUGAUGAUAAAAUCUUCCAAAUAGAUUUUGCCCUGGCAGAAAGCCCAGAAAUAGCUGCAAGGACAGGCUGUCCUUUGGGAGGUGAAUGCUCCCCCAGCACUCCUGAGCUGGACUGGUAGGAAGAAAAAGAAAGAAAAAAGGGUUAUUCUGAUCAAAACCAUUUCAUAGAGUGGUAGGCAGUCCAGUCACAGCCCCCUCUCCCCUGGCCCCCAAGCCAUGUUGUUUCCAGAGAGCAGUCAUAUGCCUCCUGAAAAAAAUACAUUUCUUGUCUCACCCACAUUUCCCACAGCCUUGUUAAGUAUUGCCUCACCUUUUCUUUAGGUAGGGUUCAGCUUCUGUUCUUGAGAUAUCCAUAUACUUUCUCUGUUUUAAGACGUCCCUUGCUUUCUCAGCCCUUGCUGUUGGGUAGCCACCCUUCUUCUCCACUUACUACAUCUGUUCCUGAUUCAGAAAACCUUUUUUUGUUGUGGGAAAUCUAUAAAUUUUCCAGAAUAACAGUAGUUUUCUUUAUCUUUCCAUAGGCUUAGGCUUCAGAAUCAACAGGAUCUAUAUUGUCCUUUCUAUAGGCAUAAUUUCCACCUUUUGCAUGCUGAUUUUUUCCUAAUACAGUUCAAAUAGCUUCUGGAGACAACCAUAACACAAAUUCCUCUAUGUCCUCCUGCUGUAUUCACAGCCCUGCCAUGCAGUCCAGCAUCUACCCUCCUGCUGCAUUUCAUUUCCAGUACAAAGACAGUCUUGGGGUCUUACCAUGAGCAUCCCUUGCUGAGCCAAACAAGCUCACUCUUUGCUGAAUUUCCCAUUGAAAUGCUUCAGGCCUACAGGUUGGGCCUUGUGAAUUAACAGAGGAGUUUGGUCCCCUGACCUAGGCAGUACUAUUUUGGCUGCUCAGGUAUCCCAGGUAUGCUGUCUUUGCAUUAUUUUCAGUGCAUUCAUGCAGUGUCACAAGCCACUGAAUGAAGCUAGCCCUACCCACAAACUCCAAUUUCCCUAUUACGUGGGUGCAUGUUCUCCAAGUAAUGGCUAGCCAUCUCUCAUUUCUCCUUCAGCUGCUUUUUUCCUCUUUUAUACAUACACACCCUUUUAAGAAAUGGCAGGGAGCAAGUUUCAAGUGCAGCAGACAUGUCAGCUUAAUUUAUAUAGGGCAGAGAAUUGGCUAAAUCUGUAACUCCUCUGCAUUUUCAUUGCAGUGCGCAGGCAGGCAGAGAAAAAGACCUAGUCUUUGCCUCCCAUUAAAAGAGAUAAAUGAUCUUGCUGGCACACACACGGUGCAGCUCAGGACAGACCAGCUUGGCUAGAUUACUGGUUAGCCCUGCCAACAGCUAAUUCGUUCAGAAAAAGGUGCAUGUAACCCUGUAGACAGCUGCAGAGCAACCGUCAUGCUUUUUAUUUCCCCUGCCCACACCAUUAGUGGUUGGCACUGUUAAUCCUAUUUAAUGUAACUAUGGAUAGACAUGCAAACCUUUAAUCCAUCUCAAACCUACUAACCCUUCAGCCUGCCUUGGCUGGAGUUCCACGUUUUGAGCUGCAAACAGGCAUGAGGCAGCCUGCCUUCUUUUACACUCCUCAUUUUUAGUUGAGUUGAUGGGUAUUCUUGUCUCAAAAUGAGACACUUCCUUUUGCUGUAACUUUUCUUUUGUGAGUUACUGAGGGCGCUGCUGCUGUACACCUUCUACAAUAACCAGCUCCUUACCCAGGAUAUUCAGGAGCCCAUCAGUGUUGUAGGUAAAGACUGAAGUGUAAAUCAGUUAUGAAAAAGAAGCCAGAGGCUGAGAUUGCCAAAACUUUUUAAGAGCCUUCCCCCCACUUUUCCUCCACAGCUUUUUCAGCAUUUUAAGUCGUCUUUGCCUAAGCAAGUUUUACAGUCAGUCUCUGUUCACUGGCAGCCAGAUUUCUUACUGCCAUGUCAUUUCAAAGGCAAGAAGUUCGUUAGCGUCCUGAGCAAACACGUUUUUUCUUGGUUUACACUUGCAGUCCUGCCCUCUCCUGAUACACAUAUAAUGCUGGUGUUAGCUGUUGUUGCUUUCUACACUAAAGACUUGUUCAUACAGCAGAGGCUGUAUUGGCUUACAUCAGCUUGUACCCAUCCAAACAAAUUUUCCUAUUUGCUUUCCAUUCACGUCAUGAGGCAGCAAUAGGCCAUUAACAGGCCUGAUGAAUCUUGUUCACAAUAAGCUAGCUCAACACUGAGCAUCUGGGAACUAUUCUGCCUUCUUUAAACGAUUUCCCUGGAAAGGUUCUACCACAUUAAUAACACUCCAGAGCUUUUAUUUGCAUUUAUAUUAAAGUUGCUGCUGUUGCUGCCUCCCAUUCCAACUCCCUGCUGUGUGUGGGUGGGGAUGCACUCUAAGAUGGCACCCUCCUCCUUCUUCCCUAGCUCAGCUACCUCUAUUUUCUGCUGCAGGAUGCUCAGCUGGUGUCGCAGAGCUGGGAAGCGAGCCAGAAGCCCGAUGAGCUCAGCCAGCACAUGGUGCUCACCCUGCAGCAGCGGGAUGUCUCCCUGCGCUGCUGCAAGCUGGAGAGAAAUGCUGUCUAGCAGGUCCAGGGGUUGAGGGCUGCAGUGUGUUAGCUUCCAGCAUGGGAACCAGAGGUUGGAGGCCAGCUAGGAAAAGCAGCUGUGGCAGCUGCUCCUUCCCUAACCCCCUCUUCUCUUACAUGGGGCAGAAAAAUCUGGCUGCAAGGAACAGAGAGAUGGCACAGGUUGCUCUACGAUAGCCACUACAUGGGGUCCCAGUACAGUUGAGGAGCUGGCAUGCUCUAGGCAUGACUAGACCAUAACAUAGAAAGCUGGGAGUAUGAGAUGUUUAGCUGUAGCUUAUCACCAGGCACAUGCGACAGGCUGGUACCCAUUCUCUCCUCUAGCCUGUAGACAUUCUCCUCAGGUCUUGCCCUUAUCUACCCAGUGUGCAGGUGGCACUGCUGUCCUUUCAUAGGAGCUGCUGCUCUGCUAGGGAGAGGGAAAAUCAAGGCUAGAACAUGUCAGAUCUUUGCCCUUCUAGAAUAUUGUUUAUAUAGAGCCACCCAUUCAUUCUGCUUGCUUUUCCUUUCUCCUGCAAAAUAAAGUAUAAUUUAUUUAAGGAUACUGUUUACUGUACAACCAAAUUUGAUUUCAGAUGGCAAAAUCCAGUCAGGUAGGUUUAACCUCUUCAACAAUGUAAUACCUCAUGGCAUACAGCCCACAAGAAGUAUGUUGAUUACUUUAGUUGGCCCUGGUAGUCUUUCCAGCCAGUAAUGAGAGCUGCCAUCUAGCUUUAAAACUCCACAGAUCCAGGUGUUAUUAUCCUUGGGGAAAACUGCUCUGGGCCCCACUUUAUAAAGUUCCUCAUUAACUCUGAAAAAACAGCUUUCCUGUUUACUUACAUUUGUAAGCAAACAAGCAGGGUUUUGUACAGAGUGAACCACAUUACCCUACUAGUGCUUCUUUCUGGAGCAACAAAGGAUGGCUUUUGCUUUCCUCAGCCUGCAAAAGAAGGGCCCAGGAACUGAACAACCACAGAAGCAAGGGUGCGCAGGAGAAACAGGUAAAGGAGGCACAUGGGGUGACAUGAAGGACCUCUGUAAGAUCAAAGGAACUACCAAAUACUGAAGAUGAGGAUUUGAAACGGAGUAUCACCCCAGAAAUCUACCUCUUUCAAAACUCAAGUUGUGGCACAACCACCUUUUUCACACUGUUAAUUGUCUCCAUGACAACUCCACAUGGAGUUGCAUGUGUUAGACCAGCUCACAUACACGACAGCAGGCACAGACUGUAGAGUUUUUAAGGAGACAUGUGGUAUAUACACCUUUUGAUCAACCACUUUUUCAAACACUAUUGCUUUCAUUCUUUAAAGAAGCAUUCUCUUUUUUUACACUUUUUAAAAUUUUGGGAGCAAGAACAAAUGGAUAAAGAAGGGAAUUGGUCUUUGAACUGUUCUAUAUUUACCACUUUUGGCUGCAGAUAGUUGAACUUGAUCCUAUUACAAGAAAGCCCCUCCCACAUGCUAUUACACAAUUCCCAGUACACACACUUCAGUAUGUUCACUAUUUCCCUUGUCUGGACCUCAUACAUCUGGGUGACCUUCCCUCCCAUGCAGACAAGAGGGAAAGAACACAAAAGAGGCAGCAAGAGGACAGCACCAGGAAUUCCAAUCAGAAAACAGGGAAGGGAUACCAAAUUCUCACCAGUGCUGACAUCUAAGCAGCUGCUGCCCAUGUCAGCCAAGCCCCUUGUAAGCAACUCCUGAGUCUAACCAAAGCUUAGCAUUAGUCCUUCUCCUUACCUCUUUUUCCCCAAAGGGGACACAUUUCCCAUUUUCUUAGGUAAGGGGCGGGCAAGGGCAGUGGCAGGCGCUCCCCAGAAGCGCAUUUACAGUGGUUUAGCAAGGAAGCGUCUGGAACAACACUUCCACCUGCCGGGCCUUCUAUUUGUUGCAACCGGGUAUUUAGCAGCAGUCCGAUAGAAAAAACAUCCCUCCAACCCAGCACCACAACCUCUGGCUCAGAAGGUUUUAACUUUCUGCUGGGACUAACACCUGGGUCACAACCCCUCCUGGGUACAGGAGCAGGCAGCGCCCAGCAGUGCUGCCCUCCUAGCGUGGCUGAACCUGAGUGGGAGGCUCAGGUACAAGCAUCCAAAGGACAACUUUCUCCCUGUAAAAGGUCUUCCUUGGAGAGGGGAGACUAAGUAAGCAAAACAGAGGAGUCACCUCCAUUCCAACCUGCACUCCUUGAAGGCCUGAGCAUGUCAGAAAGAAGAUUAAAUACAUGUGUCAACAUGAAUCAGAUAGGCCAUUCACACAACUGAGUCAUCCUAAAGAGGGAUGCUUGGAUCAGAACAGUGACACAGUUUGUCUCCAUCAGUCGUAGCCUGUCAUAAUUAAUCACUAUUACAAAGGCAAAGAGAGGCUGUGUCUGCAACAAGUAUUUAAUCAAAUGACAUAUGAAAAGUUUUUACAAUGACUGAGAAACCUGACAGAGGCUGUAAUAAGAA